Molecule: ribosomal RNA, 482 nt
Filed under: Glyphidrilus kedahensis
Lineage: Eukaryota; Metazoa; Annelida; Clitellata; Crassiclitellata; Almidae
Also listed under: 2 other names
Description: partial small subunit ribosomal RNA
Rfam family: Bacterial large subunit ribosomal RNA
Source: RNAcentral
UGCCUCUUGAUUUUUUUAUAAGAGGUAACUCCUGCCCAGUGAAUUCUUUUCAACGGCCGCGGUAUCCUAACCGUGCAAAGGUAGCAUAAUCACUUGUCUAUUAAUUGUAGACUAGAAUGAAAGGAUAAACGAAAUAAGCACUGUCUCAUCUAGUUUUAUAUAAAUUAUACUUCAGAUGAAGAUAUCUGAAUAAAAACGAAGGACAAGAAGACCCUAUAGAGCUUUAUUUUAAUAAAGAUUCACGCUUUACAAAAAAUUCGGUUGGGGCGACCAAGGAAUAAAAAACACCCUUUAAUUUCAAGAUUUAUAAAUCUCCUAUAUGACCCUUUUUAGAUCAUUAGAACAAGCUACCUUAGGGAUAACAGGCUAAUCUCAUUAAAGAGUCCUUAUCUAUAAUGGGGGUUGGCACCUCGAUGUUGGCUUAGGGUAUCUAUACAGCGCAAAAGUUGUAAACAGGUGGUUUGUUCAACCAUUAAUUCCCU